This 270-nucleotide ribosomal RNA is filed under the name Arabidopsis thaliana (thale cress). Lineage: Eukaryota; Viridiplantae; Streptophyta; Magnoliopsida; Brassicales; Brassicaceae. The record is from RNAcentral.
UGACAAANCUUGGCAUGUGAUAUGGUGAAUGGAUCCGGUGAAUGGUUCAGCAAGUCUUCAAAAAAGAAUAUAUACGAUUGCAUUGCAUAUACUAACGGAUGCGAUCAUACCAGCACUAAUGCACCGGAUCCCAUCAGAACUCCGCAGUUAAGCGUGCUUGGGCGAGAGUAGUACUAGGAUGGGUGACCUCCCGGGAAGUCCUCGUGUUGCAUCCCUCUUUUUUUUUUUUUUUUUUGGUUAAAACUUUAUGACUCCAUAACUUCUAGACAG